RNAcentral lists this transfer RNA (70 nucleotides) under Nesoptilotis leucotis (White-eared honeyeater). RNAcentral's name for it is "tRNA-Arg". Lineage: Eukaryota; Metazoa; Chordata; Aves; Passeriformes; Meliphagidae. The record is from RNAcentral.
AGAAAGUUAGUCUAACUAAGACAGUUGAUUUCGACUCAACAGAUUAUAGCCCUAACCCUAUAACUUUCUU